Molecule: unclassified non-coding RNA, 485 nt
Filed under: Hevea brasiliensis (rubber tree)
Lineage: Eukaryota; Viridiplantae; Streptophyta; Magnoliopsida; Malpighiales; Euphorbiaceae
Source: RNAcentral
UGAGCAGCAGCCUUCAAUCAAACAUGGUGAAGAAAUUAGGCAUAAGCCAAAGGCCCUUGUACAAAGAACAGUAAGUCAAAUUGUCUCCCAGUGUAAUGAUAGAAAACUACACGGCAGGGUUAAGGAAGAAAAACUCACAUGAUCUUGCUGUAAGUCCAGGUGUCAUACAUUGCAAUUGCAUAAAAAUAAAAUAUUAAAAAAAAAAGUGAACAUAAAAUUACGUUCUUGAUUCUAUCUAGAAUUAUGAAAAGUGUGACCUUUCAACAGGUAUGGAACACGUGGACACAGAGCAUGGAAAGAAUGAAAAUGAUUGUAUAUGAAAUGACUAGGCUGCAGCAACCCACUGGGCUGCUGCUGAUUAACAGCUAUUAAUUUAUGCACCCUAACUCAAGGCUGCAGCACCAGAAAUAUAAUGAUAGCCUAAUAAAAGUCCAAGAUAAAAAUUAAACAUAAUAAGAAAAAAAGGAAAAAAAAAAAAAAGCCAA